RNAcentral lists this unclassified non-coding RNA (350 nucleotides) under soil metagenome. RNAcentral's name for it is "partial contains 5.8S ribosomal RNA, internal transcribed spacer 2, and large subunit ribosomal RNA". The stretch from base 1 to 120 matches the Rfam family "5.8S ribosomal RNA", at positions 35 to 154 of the family's 154-position model. The record is from RNAcentral.
GAUGAAGAACGCAGCGAAAUGCGAUAAGUAAUGUGAAUUGCAGAAUUCAGUGAAUCAUCGAAUCUUUGAACGCACAUUGCGCCCAUUAGUAUUCUAGUGGGCAUGCCUGUUCGAGCGUCAUUUCAACCCUUAAGCCUAGCUUAGUGUUGGGAGACUGCCUAAUACGCAGCUCCUCAAAACCAGUGGCGGAGUCUGUUCGUGCUCUGAGCGUAGUAAUUUUUUAUCUCGCUUCUGCAAGCCGGCCAGACGACAGCCAUAAACCGCACCCUCUCGGGGGGCACUUUUUUAAUGGUUGACCUCGGAUCAGGUAGGAAUACCCGCUGAACUUAAGCAUAUCAAUAAGCGGAGGU